GACCGAGGGGGCAAGCGUUGCUCGGAAUUACUGGGCGUAAAGGGCGCGUAGGCGGGAUGGCAAGUCGGUCGUGAAAUCCUUCGGCUCAACCGAAGAACGUCGAUCGAUACUGCUGUUCUUGAGGGUUGCAGAGGAGACUGGAAUUCCCGGUGUAGCGGUGAAAUGCGUAGAUAUCUGGAGGAACACCGGUGGCGAAGGCGGCAUCCUGGACCGGCAUUGACGCUGAGGAGCGAAAGCCAGGGGAGCAAACGGG
Molecule: ribosomal RNA, 253 nt
Filed under: uncultured bacterium
Lineage: Bacteria
Description: partial 16S ribosomal RNA
Rfam family: Bacterial small subunit ribosomal RNA
Source: RNAcentral